UCUGGUGAGUUUUUGACAAAUGUAGAAGAGAAUAAGGAUUCUCUCUCAUUGGAAUCGACUUUGUUAGAUAUAGUUCGAUCUAUGAUGGGGUUUGCAAGUCUGUCAGUCUCCUUUUAAGGUUAUACUCUUAAGACUAUUUAUCAUGUUCUGAAUUAGAUUUCAAACUAAUCAGUCGCAAAGACUUCAUAUGAGAUAUGGACUAGACGUAAGCCGAUAUUCUCUUACCUUAAGAUUUGAGAGUAUUUAUUUUAUGUCAAGCAUUUGUAGAUAGAUUAGCUUGGAUCAUGGUCUUAUAUAUAUUAUUUUGUAGGAUAACUCUAAAGAAUCUAGGGGAUAUAACUUCUACCAUGCUAAAGAAUAAGAGUUGUUCGGCAUUCCUUUUAGAAAGGAAGUACCUUGGUGAAGAUAUUGAUGCCUUUAAUGUGGAACUUAUGAAGUUUGACAGGUAGAAGAACCGACACAAUCUAGUGAAUCCAUAGAACUGGAUUUGAUUAGACCAAACCUGAAAUUCAUUGUAAAGGCACCAUUAAGGAGAUCCGAUAGAGUACCGCAUCCAUCAGAUAGAUACUUC
RNAcentral lists this long non-coding RNA (571 nucleotides) under Elaeis guineensis (African oil palm). RNAcentral describes it as "long non-coding RNA (EGUI_LNC058881)". Lineage: Eukaryota; Viridiplantae; Streptophyta; Magnoliopsida; Arecales; Arecaceae. The record is from RNAcentral.